Non-coding RNA from Neurospora hispaniola, 89 nucleotides. NCBI's taxonomy places the organism in Eukaryota, Fungi, Ascomycota, Sordariomycetes, Sordariales, Sordariaceae. The record is from the annotation of a RefSeq genome assembly.
ACCCUACUGGUGUAUCGGUUAACAUGGCGGAUUCUCAUCAUUCCAAAAUGAAGCUUCCGCAGCGCAGGGUUCAAUUCCCUGGUAGGGUA